Molecule: ribosomal RNA, 263 nt
Filed under: uncultured Staphylococcus sp.
Lineage: Bacteria; Bacillati; Bacillota; Bacilli; Caryophanales; Staphylococcaceae
Description: partial 16S ribosomal RNA
Rfam family: Bacterial small subunit ribosomal RNA
Source: RNAcentral
CGGACGGGUGAGUAACACGUGGAUAACCUACCUAUAAGACUGGGAUAACUUCGGGAAACCGGAGCUAAUACCGGAUAAUAUAUUGAACCGCAUGGUUCAAUAGUGAAAUACGGUUUUGCUGUCACUUAUAGAUGGAUCCGCGCCGCAUUAGCUAGUUGGUAAGGUAACGGCUUACCAAGGCAACGAUGCGUAGCCGACCUGAGAGGGUGAUCGGCCACACUGGAACUGAGACACGGUCCAGACUCCUACGGGAGGCAGCAGCU